Molecule: long non-coding RNA, 211 nt
Organism: Rana temporaria (common frog)
Lineage: Eukaryota; Metazoa; Chordata; Amphibia; Anura; Ranidae
Exons: 3
Source: RefSeq, a predicted model, not a curated record
AGAUUACAACACAACACCAAUUCAAUUUCAUCAUCUAUCUACAACCUACGCCUUUGAUUCAGAUUUAAUAAAGACCUUUUCUUCUUAAAACCUACAACCCAUGUAAUUGGAUAAUUUAUAGUCAAAUUACAACACCUCUAAAAAUACAAAGCUCAAUAACACCAAUUCAAUUUCCUCAUCUAUCUGCAACCUACGCCUUUGAUUCAGGUAU